UACGUAGGUGGCAAGCGUUGUCCGGAAUUAUUGGGCGUAAAGAGUACGUAGGCGGUCUGUUAAGCGCAAGGUGAAAGGCAUAGGCUCAACCAAUGUGAGCCUUGCGAACUGGCAGACUUGAGUGCAGGAGAGGAAAGCGGAAUUCCUAGUGUAGCGGUGAAAUGCGUAGAUAUUAGGAGGAACACCGGUGGCGAAGGCGGCUUUCUGGACUGAAACUGACGCUGAGGUACGAAAGCGUGGGGAGCAAACAGG
Molecule: ribosomal RNA, 252 nt
Filed under: uncultured bacterium
Lineage: Bacteria
Description: partial 16S ribosomal RNA
Rfam family: Bacterial small subunit ribosomal RNA
Source: RNAcentral